Heterocephalus glaber (naked mole-rat) is the source of this 2141-nucleotide long non-coding RNA. Lineage: Eukaryota; Metazoa; Chordata; Mammalia; Rodentia; Bathyergidae. The record is from Ensembl.
UGGACUCAUGUCUCAGCAUCACCAAGAAGAUUUCCCUAACUUACCCAUUUGUAAUGACUUUCCCAUGGAAUACAUUUCCCCUUUCUAAAUAAAACAUCAUAAGAAGUGUAUUCAGCUAAUAUGUACAAUUCAACAAACAUUUAUCAAGCCAUAUCAGGAUAAUCACUACCUAAGAAACAGUGCCUUAUAUUGCCACUUUUGUGAUAAUGGUUUACUUGCUUGGCAUUAUACUUUUACUAUUUAUAUUUGAGUCUAUAAGUGACAUAAUUUUGUCUAUUUUGAGACAGUAUACAAAAUGAAGUUAUAAUGAAUGGAUUUCUUACAUUUUUCGUUUGGGCUGUAUAUUACAUUUUUGAGAGUCAUUCACGUUACUGUUUGCAGCUGUAGUUUCUUCUCCAAGCUGUGUGGUAAUCUACUGGAUGGCAGCACUACAACUUGAGCAUUCUUCCGCUGAUACUAUGGUCACAUGAAUGGAAACCUUCCAGCUGAAAGGAGAAGCAUGCAGCAUGGCCAGGCACUGAUGAGGCACUGUGUUUCAAGCUGGGUCCUGCUGAAACAGAUCUGAUGACCUUUCUUCCCUUCAGAUUUUUUAAUGUACUGAAGACUAUUACCUGGCUGGGGAAAGAGGAUAGCGCUUAAAAACAGUUCCUUUUUUGGUACAUAAGAAACUGAACUGUGUUUUUAAACAGAAUGAAGUAGAGCUGCGUGUGCUGUUUUUGAAAAUGUUCCAAAGAAUGUUGCUACUGAUACAUGAAGAGUGUGAAACAUUCUUUACACCUUAAUCUCACAUCUUAAAAAAGGGUAUUUGUACAUGGUGCUAGGUGCCUAACUUUCCUGAAGAUUAGGCAGAACUAGGAACUUCUGGGUAAAGGGCGCAGGAUUCAGGGGACAGUUGUAGAGAGAUGUGAAAAAAUCCUUGCUUUUCAUUUUAAUUGAAAAACGUUUUGUCAGGAACUAUUAUCAUUUCUAUGAAAAAUAAAAGGAAGUGUAAGUGUAUGCAAAGUCCAGCUGCAUGAUAUCUUUCAUAAGGCACUGGGUGGUUUGACCCCAGCUCCCUAUCUGAAUCAAUCAGUGAUAAUUACUUCAGUAAUUAUGGCCUGGAAUUGUGCUUCUCUGGACCACAUUGUGAACAGCACCAGCAAAAACCUUCCCUUUAGAAUGGAAGGCCUGAGGCAUGGUGAAGUCCUCUUGAAGUUAACAUCAUGACCUUUUUCUCACUUCAAUUUUAUGAAACUGAUAAGGAAAAGUUACCUCUCAUUUCUGAGGCGUUUGUGAGAAUCAAAUGGAGAAAUUAUUUUGGUGAAUGGUUUUUGAAAAGGUACUUGGCUUGGUGUCCUGAGGCGUCCCAAAGAGUCUGAUUCUUUAAAAUAUAUGAUCUGGGGCCAGGGAUUUAGCUCAGUGGUUUCACUGCCUGCUGCACAAGUUCAAGGACCUGAGUUUGAUCCCCAGUACCAAAAAAAAUAAAAAAUAAAAAAAUAAAAUAUAUGAUCUGGUAAGGAAACAAAGACAUUCAAGCACAUGAUCUUUUAAAGCAACUCUCUUUCCUUUACUCUCUUCCUCUAGUGCCAAGCAUAUAUGAAUAUUAUUUCAUGUUCUUAAAUUCUAGGUAAUGUUCCUAUGUGCUCAGUGGAGACAAUUAUUGCCUGUCUAUGUGAGCUGCUUUUUCAAGGAAGGAAAUGACUGAAGAAAUGGGAACGCUGUCAACAUUGAGAUGAAUAUGAGGGACGGAGGGAUAUGUUUGUUUUAAAGAAAGAAAUAAAACAGCAUUUGAAAUUUUUUUUAGAGUGUGAACUUUUUCCAGGCUAGAUCCAGGUAGAGCGACUUCAAGGCUCAGAGGCCGAGAACGUGUGGCUACUGGGUUUCAGAACUCUGGUCUUCUAACUCCAGUUUCCACACUUCUGUCACCAGCUACUCUUUGAACAUGAACCUGAUGUCCUUUGAGGUAAUGAGUGUCUUCUAGGCAUGGAAUAUUGUCUUUGUUACUUUCUUUGUUGCUGCGACAAAAUACCGAAAACAUGCGACUUAAGAAAGGAGAGGUUUAUUUUGGCUCACAGUUUGGUUUCAGUUCUUAGUUGUCCAACUUUGUUUUUAUUUAUUUAUUUUACUUAAAUUCUUUUAUUGGUACAUUGUAGGUAUACAGC